AAAUAGUGGAUUGGUAUAAUAAAAUGUUUUAGUGAUUUAAUUAAAUAAAUUAUUAUAUAAUUUGAGUAAUGUAAAUGAAUAAUUUUUAAAAUUUAUAUAAGUAAUUUUAAUUUAAUGUACCUUUUGUAUCAGGGUUUAUUAAAAUAUAAAUUUUAUUAAUUUAAAAUUUUUCGAAUGAAAAAGAGUUAAUUAAAUAUAAAAUUUAAUGUUUAAUAAUUAUUUUUAAUAUUUAUUUAGGGAAGAUAUUUUAGUCAAUUUUUUAGAUAUCUAAUUUUUUUUGAUAUAAAUUUAAUUUAUAUAUAAAUAUUAAAAUUUAAAAAUUAUAAAAUUAAUUAAAUUAUUAUUUAAAAAUUUAUUUAUAAUUGGUUUAUAUAAAAAAUUUAUGGGAUAAUCUAUAAAUUUUUUUAAAAAAAAUUAAAAUUAAUUAAUAAAAAUAUUUUUAAAAUUAAAAUUUUUUAAUAAAUAUUUAAUAAUUUAUUUUUGAUUAUAAAAUAAUUUUAAAAUUAUAAAUUUUAGUGUAAAAAAUUUUUAAUUUUAUAAAAAAAUAUUAUAAAUAAUUAUUUAUUGUAAAAAAUAAUGAUAAAAUUAGUAUAAUAAAAUUUAAAAGAAUUAAUUUAAAAUUAUAAAAAUAUUAUUUUUGUUAUAUAAUGAAAAAAGAAUUAGGCAAGUUAAAUUAUUUUUUAAUAAUAAUAAUGAUUUAAAUUAUAAUUAAUAUAUAAAUUUUUAUUUAUUGUUUAUUUUAUAUUUUAAAAAUUAUAUAAAAGAAUAAAUAAAUUAAACUCACCUGUUUAAUAAAAACAUGGUUUUAAAAUAAAAAUUUAAGAUUUAUUCUGCUCAAUGAUGAUAAAAUUAAAUAGCUGCAGUAUUUUAACUGUACUAAGGUAGCAUAAUCAAUUGUCUUUUAAUUAAAGACUAGGAUGAAGGAAUGGAUGAAGUUUAAACUAUUUUAUGAAUUAUAUUAAGAAUUUAUAUUUUAAGUCAAAAUUCUUAAAUAAUAUUAUGGGACGAGAAGACCCUAUAGAAUUUUAUAUAAAUUUUUAAUUUAAAUAAAUAAAAAAAAUUUUUGAAAAAUUUAUAUUUUAUUGGGAGGAUAGUAAAAUUUAAUGAACUUUUAUGAAAUUAUAAAUUAAUUUUUAUUUAGCCAUAGAUUUAUGAGUUUUUGAUUAAAAAUGAUAAAAUAUAUAUUAUUAUAAUUUAUUAUUAGAAUUAAUUACCUUAGGGAUAACAGCAUAAUAUUUUUCUUGAGAUCUUAUUGGGAAAGAUGAUUGUGACCUCGAUGUUGAAUUAAAAUAAAUAUUAAAUGAAGAAAUUUAAUUGGUUAGUCUGUUCGACUAUUGAAUUUUUACAUGAUUUGAGUUUAGAUCGGCGUGAGCCAGAUCGGUUUCUAUCUAUAAUUAAAUUUAAAUAAUUUUGUACGAAAGGACUUUUUAUUUAAAAUUAUUUUUAAAUAAUGAAUAAAAUUAAUUUUAAUUAAAAUUUUAUUAGUUUAAUU
This 1492-nucleotide ribosomal RNA is filed under the name Acropyga panamensis. Its description in RNAcentral is "16S ribosomal RNA". Lineage: Eukaryota; Metazoa; Arthropoda; Insecta; Hymenoptera; Formicidae. The record is from RNAcentral.